CAGAGUAGGCAGUAAGGCGUUAAGUGCCGAGUGAACAGGAAGUUGUCAUUCGGACGAAAAGAGUGAUUCUUGCGAUUUUAUUGCCGCAUUCCGCUG
RNAcentral lists this non-coding RNA (96 nucleotides) under bovine gut metagenome. RNAcentral's name for it is "THF riboswitch". It matches the Rfam family "THF (Tetrahydrofolate) riboswitch aptamer". Rfam says of the family: THF riboswitch presents a pseudoknot that joins P1-P2 and the loop of P3 and two THF binding. The record is from RNAcentral. RNAcentral also lists the same sequence under 1 other name.